AGUGAACGCUGGCGGUAGGCCUAACACAUGCAAGUCGAACGGCAGCACAGAGGAGCUUGCUCCUUGGGUGGCGAGUGGCGGACGGGUGAGGAAUACAUCGGAAUCUACUCUGUCGUGGGGGAUAACGUAGGGAAACUUACGCUAAUACCGCAUACGACCUACGGGUGAAAGCAGGGGACCUUCGGGCCUGGCGCGAUUGAAUGAGCCGAUGUCGGAUUAGCUAGUUGGCGGGGUAAAGGCCCACCAAGGCGACGAUCCGUAGCUGGUCUGAGAGGAUGAUCAGCCACACUGGAACUGAGACACGGUCCAGACUCCUACGGGAGGCAGCAGUGGGGAAUAUUGGACAAUGGGCGCAAGUCUGAUCCAGCCAUACCGCGUGGGUGAAGAAGGCCUUCGGGUUGUAAAGCCCUUUUGUUGGGAAAGAAAUCCAGCUGGCUAAUACCCGGUUGGGAUGACGGUACCCAAAGAAUAAGCACCGGCUAACUUCGUGCCAGCCGCCGCAGUAA
Molecule: ribosomal RNA, 506 nt
Filed under: uncultured bacterium
Lineage: Bacteria
Description: partial 16S ribosomal RNA
Rfam family: Bacterial small subunit ribosomal RNA
Source: RNAcentral